AUCCCUCACUCCUCACCCUCACUGUAGACCCGACCACGGGCUCUACCUCAUCCCUCACUCCUCACCCUCACCGGACCACGGUCUCUACCUCAUCCCUCACUCCUCACCCUCACCGGACCACGGGCUCUCCCUCAUCCCUCACUCCUCACCUUCACUGUAGACCCGACCACGGGCUCUACCUCAUCCCUCACUCCUCACCGUCACUGUAGACCCGAACACGGGCUCUACCUCAUCCCUCACUCCUCACCCUCACUGUAGACCCGACCAUGGGCUCAACCCCAUCCCUCACUCCUCACCCUCACCCGACCACGGGCUCUACCCCAUCCCUCACUCCUCACCCUCACUGUAGACCCGACCACGGGCUCUACCUCAUCCCUCACUCCUCACCCUCACUGUAGACCCGACCACGGGCUCUACCUCAUCCCUCACUCCUCACCCUCACCCGACCAUGGGCUCUACCCCAUCCCUCACUCCUCACCCUCACUGUAGACCCGCCCACGGGCUCAACCCCAUCCCUCACUCCUCACCCUCACUGUAGACCCGUCCACGGGCUAUACCCCAUCCCUCACUCCUCACCCUCAUUGAGGUGUAUUACCGUGGCGUCCUCAGCCUCCAGCACCACCUCCCCUGCCCUGACUUCCCCAGGCUCUUGCUGGAUUUCAGGAGCCACGGGACCCUCUGGGUUCAGUUCCACAGCAACAUCCUGGUCCCUCUCCCUUCAGAUGCUCCCUCUUCACUUUCACCUUCCUGCCCACCACCUGAAGCCACCCGUCCCGUGUCCAACCACGACUUCCACAGCCGGUGGCACAGGGGAGGGAGGCUCACUGCCUCUGAGGCAGAGUUGGCAGCCUGCAUCUUCAGGCAAUUGUUCUGAAUGUGACCAAACUCCUUCAAGGCACGGCACCUCGGGUGACCGGUAGCCCACGGGAUGGUAUAGUAAUGCCCCUGAAAAUAAACCUGAAUCCUCCCCUUGGCAUCCCCAUCCCGGGGUAGCUGCACAGACAGAAUAGGUGCUCAGAACCCCGCGGCAGUGCUCUGUACCGAAUCGGGGUUAUUUUCGAAAGCGUCUUGCCGAUGGAGUGCAGAGAGGGGAAUAGGGCCUUGUCAGAGAGGAUUACCAACUGCACAGAGCCCACCUGCAUAAAAACCUCCCCACCUUUAAUCCCCAACUCGGCCAAAAACGCACCCCUCAGUGACUUCAGUACCACCCCACCAAAGUGUGACCCUCCCUCGGUACCGCACCUCCCACCCCUGCCUCAUUUCCCCUCCCAUCUUCUCUCCAGGCUGCAACAGGUUGGAGUCCCUGGACGUUUCCAAGAACGCACUGGGAACCCGCGGCCUGCAGCCACUGCUCCACUGCGUCCGGCCCACGCUGCUGACCCGGCUGAAUCUGCGCUCUGUGACCCACGCACAAGACAGCCUCCUCCUCGACCCACUCGUCAGCUAUCUGAGUCAGGAUGGCUGUGUUCUGGCUCAUCUCACCCUCUCCAGCAACGCCCUCAACAACGACAGCGUCAGAAAUCUUGCCAGGUGCCUGCCCUCUCUCCCAUCACUGGCAUCCCUGGACCUUUCCCAAAACCCUGACAUCAGCCUGCCUGGUCUGCAGAUACUUCUAGAUGCCCUGGACAAGAGAAUGUCCUGCCUGGAUCUCCUGGAUUUGUCAGGGUGCGCCGUGCAGCGGGAGGACGUCAGCAAUGUUACAGAGAGGUGGUAUCUGAGGGACCUCCGGCUGUGAACAGCGGAUUCUCAGAAGCAGAACAAGCACACGAUUGAGCAGGUCCCUCAUGUGAUUGAAUGACACGGGGUAAAGGGCUGGCACCGGAAGGGCUGGCCACGACUCGAUCAUCCACCUGCGGGACUCUGGGAGGGGAUUAACCUGCUCCGUGACCCAGUUCCUCACUCAGACUGCUCCUUGAAAGAGGAGAGGGGGGAGUAAGGCGCCCACAGCUGUUACACCAAGGAUCAAAGUGCACAGAAUGCAGAAACAGGCCCUUCAGCAAAGGACCUACAUCCCUGCUAACCAUCAGAUAUCCAUCCACACUGACUUCACCCUCACACUAGGGGUUACAGGUUUAAAGGGAGAGGGGAGAUGUUUACACAAAGAGGAACGAGCUGCCGGAGGUUGUGGUUGAGAGGGCUACAAUUAUAAAUACAACCACACUCCUCUCCUCUCAGAUUUGCCCCUCUUCAGCCCUGUACCACUUCCACCUACCCCCUGCCAGCUCACUUCACCUGCCUCCCCCACCCACCUUCCCUUCCCCCUCCCCGGUCUCACCUACCCCCUGCCAGCUCACUUCACCUGCCACCCCCACCCACCUUCCCUUCCCCCUCCCCGG
This is a long non-coding RNA of Hypanus sabinus (Atlantic stingray), 2336 nucleotides long. RefSeq lists it as uncharacterized. Lineage: Eukaryota; Metazoa; Chordata; Chondrichthyes; Myliobatiformes; Dasyatidae. The transcript has 4 exons. The record is from RefSeq and is a predicted model, not a curated record.